Lagopus leucura (white-tailed ptarmigan) is the source of this 809-nucleotide long non-coding RNA. RefSeq lists it as uncharacterized. Lineage: Eukaryota; Metazoa; Chordata; Aves; Galliformes; Phasianidae. The transcript has 3 exons. The record is from RefSeq and is a predicted model, not a curated record.
AUCACUUCAUUAUAAUCAAGUCCUAUACUGGGCUUUAGUACAUUAUUACUGUCUUCCCUUUUUCCAACCUGUAUGAGCUUUUUGCUCUUGGGAAACCAGGUCUAGCAGAUACCCAGAGGAAGAUCCAAGGAUUUUCCUUGCUGCAAAACUGAAGUUCAUUCAUAACAAAGGUCUGAAGUUACCUACUCUUCUUGACGUCCACAAUAAGUAUACUUCUAUCUCCAGCCUGAAGAGAAGAAUGACUUUAGCGCCUGUAUUUACCAGAAUUCUUUAUGUGUUUACUUCGUUGUUACUACUCCUGUACAGAGAAAGGGUGCAGAAAAAAAAAAACAAAAAUGCUGUACACAGGCAAAGCAACUCCUGUAGCGUGCUCCUAGAAGUGAGCCUUUGGGAUUGAGACCACACUAGAGGAGAUAUUCAAGAUGAACAGAGGUGCUUUCUCCUCUUGUCUGACUUUCGGCAGAAGUAAGACAGAACAAAGAUCGGUUUUUAAGAAAAUUGAAGAAACUAACAACUUGAAUUUAGAAAGAAAGUGAUCAUCUGUGAACACAUCUAAGGAACAAGAUAGUAGUGUGUACAGGCACAGAAGACAAGAACUGGGAGAGUAUGUUACCCAGGUUUUUGCUGCAUAGCAAGUGUCUUAAAGAGAGGUAGCUUGUAAGACUUUGUUAUUGAGUACUUAAUUUCACAGUUUCUUGCAUUUCGUCUUCUAUCUAAUAUCAGAUCUGCAAAUCUAUUUAACAAUUAUUGGUACUCUGGUUUCCAAAAUGGCACAACUCUGACUGCUUUCUUUUCCUUGGAAAUUUCGU